This 544-nucleotide ribosomal RNA is filed under the name uncultured bacterium. RNAcentral describes it as "bacterial SSU rRNA". It matches the Rfam family "Bacterial small subunit ribosomal RNA", at positions 333 to 871 of the family's 1533-position model. The record is from RNAcentral.
AGACUCCUACGGGAGGCAGCAGUGGGGAAUCUUGGACAAUGGGCGAAAGCCUGAUCCAGCAAUGCCGCGUGUGUGAAGAAGGCCUUCGGGUUGUAAAGCACUUUUGUCCGGAAAGAAAUCCUUGGCUCUAAUACAGUCGGGGGAUGACGGUACCGGAGGAAUAAGCACCGGCUAACUACGUGCCAGCAGCCGCGGUAAUACGUAGGGUGCGAGCGUUAAUCGGAAUUACUGGGCGUAAAGCGUGCGCAGGCGGUUUGCUAAGACCGAUGUGAAAUCCCCGGGCUCAACCUGGGAACUGCAUUGGUGACUGGCAGGCUAGAGUAUGGCAGAGGGGGGUAGAAUUCCACGUGUAGCAGUGAAAUGCGUAGAGAUGUGGAGGAAUACCGAUGGCGAAGGCAGCCCCCUGGGCCAAUACUGACGCUCAUGCGCGAAAGCGUGGGGAGCAAGCAGGAUUAGAUACCCUGGUAGUCCACGCCCUAAACGAUGUCAACUAGUUGUUGGGGAUUCAUUUCCUUAGUAACGUAGCUAACGCGUGAAGUGACCG